GAUGAACGCUGGCGGCGUGCCUAAUACAUGCAAGUCGAGCGAACAGACGAGGAGCUUGCUCCUCUGACGUUAGCGGCGGACGGGUGAGUAACACGUGGAUAACCUACCUAUAAGACUGGGAUAACUUCGGGAAACCGGAGCUAAUACCGGAUAAUAUAUUGAACCGCAUGGUUCAAUAGUGAAAGACGGUUUUGCUGUCACUUAUAGAUGGAUCCGCGCCGCAUUAGCUAGUUGGUAAGGUAACGGCUUACCAAGGCAACGAUGCGUAGCCGACCUGAGAGGGUGAUCGGCCACCCGGGAACUGAGACACGGUCCAGACGCCUACGGGAGGCAGCAGUAGGGAAUCUUCCGCAAUGGGCGAAAGCCUGACGGAGCAACGCCGCGUGAGUGAUGAAGGUCUUCGGAUCGUAAAACUCUGUUAUUAGGGAAGAACAAAUGUGUAAGUAACUAUGCACGUCUUGACGGUACCUAAUCAGAAAGCCACGGCUAACUACGUG
Molecule: ribosomal RNA, 497 nt
Filed under: uncultured bacterium
Lineage: Bacteria
Description: partial 16S ribosomal RNA
Rfam family: Bacterial small subunit ribosomal RNA
Source: RNAcentral